RNAcentral lists this ribosomal RNA (301 nucleotides) under uncultured bacterium. RNAcentral describes it as "partial 16S ribosomal RNA". It matches the Rfam family "Bacterial small subunit ribosomal RNA", at positions 509 to 807 of the family's 1533-position model. The record is from RNAcentral.
CAGCAGCCACGGUAAUACAGAGGUCUCAAGCGUUGUUCGGAUUCAUUGGGCGUAAAGGGUGCGUAGGCGGUCGGGUAAGUCGGAUGUGAAAUCCUGGGGCCCAACCUCAGAACUGCAUUCGAUACUGCCUGGCUAGAGGACUGGAGAGGAGACUGGAAUUCACGGUGUAGCAGUGAAAUACGUAGAUAUCGUGAGGAAGACCAGCGGCGAAGGCGGGUCUCUGGACAGUUCCUGACGCUGAUGCACGAAGGCCAGGGGAGCAAACGGGAUUAGAUACCCCAGUAGUCCCUGUCUCUUAUAC